This 831-nucleotide ribosomal RNA is filed under the name uncultured bacterium. RNAcentral's name for it is "bacterial SSU rRNA". It matches the Rfam family "Bacterial small subunit ribosomal RNA", at positions 8 to 826 of the family's 1533-position model. The record is from RNAcentral.
AGAGUUUGAUCCUGGCUCAGGAUGAACGCUAGCUACAGGCUUAACACAUGCAAGUCGAGGGGAAACGGCAUUGAGUGCUUGCACUCUUUGGACGUCGACCGGCGCACGGGUGAGUAACGCGUAUCCAACCUUCCCAUUACUGUGGGAUAACCUGCCGAAAGGCAGACUAAUACCGCAUAGUCUUCGAUGACGGCAUCAGAUUUGAAGUAAAGAUUUAUCGGUAAUGGAUGGGGAUGCGUCUGAUUAGCUUGUUGGCGGGGUAACGGCCCACCAAGGCAACGAUCAGUAGGGGUUCUGAGAGGAAGGUCCCCCACAUUGGAACUGAGACACGGUCCAAACUCCUACGGGAGGCAGCAGUGAGGAAUAUUGGUCAAUGGACGGAAGUCUGAACCAGCCAAGUAGCGUGCAGGAUGACGGCCCUAUGGGUUGUAAACUGCUUUUGUAUGGGGAUAAAGUCAGUCACGUGUGAUUGUUUGCAGGUACCAUACGAAUAAGGACCGGCUAAUUCCGUGCCAGCAGCCGCGGUAAUACGGAAGGUCCAGGCGUUAUCCGGAUUUAUUGGGUUUAAAGGGAGCGUAGGCUGGAUAUUAAGUGUGUUGUGAAAUGUAGACGCUCAACGUCUGACUUGCAGCGCAUACUGGUUUCCUUGAGUACGCACAACGUUGGCGGAAUUCGUCGUGUAGCGGUGAAAUGCUUAGAUAUGACGAAGAACUCCGAUUGCGAAGGCAGCUGACGGGAGCGCAACUGACGCUUAAGCUCGAAGGUGCGGGUAUCAAACAGGAUUAGAUACCCUGGUAGUCCGCGCAGUAAACGAUGGAUGCCCGCUGUUGG